GCCUUUAAAGAAUAACAGCUCAUUCGUUGGUCUUAGGAACCAAAGACUCUCAGUGCAAAUCUGAGUGAAGACU
This 73-nucleotide transfer RNA is filed under the name Lepophidium profundorum (blackrim cusk-eel). Its description in RNAcentral is "tRNA-Leu". It matches the Rfam family "tRNA". From Rfam's summary of the family: Transfer RNA (tRNA) molecules are approximately 80 nucleotides in length. Their secondary structure includes four short double-helical elements and three loops (D, anti-codon, and T loops). RNAcentral also lists the same sequence under 3 other names. The record is from RNAcentral. Lineage: Eukaryota; Metazoa; Chordata; Actinopteri; Ophidiiformes; Ophidiidae.